AGAACGAACGCUGGCGGCAGGCCUCAAACAUGCAAGUCUAGGGGGUGUAGCAAUACAUCACCGGCGGACGGGUGCGUAACGCGUGGGAAUAUACCUAUUGGUUCGGAACAACUGAGGGAAACUUCAGCUAAUACCGGAUGAGCCCUAACGGGGAAAGAUUUCUCGCCAAUAGAUUAGCCCGCGUCCGAUUAGCUAGUUGGUGGGGUAAAAGCCUACCAAGGCGACGAUCGGUAGCUGUUCUGAGAGGAAGAUCAGCCACACUGGGACUGAGACACGGCCCAGACUCCUACGGGAGGCAGCAGUUGGGAAUCUUGGACAAUGGGGGAAACCCUGAUCCAGCCAUGCCGCGUGAGUGAUGAAGGCCUUCGGGUUGUAAAACUCUUUCGACGGGGACGAUAAUGACGGUACCCGUAGAAGAAGCUCCGGCUAACUUCGCGCCAGCAGCCGC
This 448-nucleotide ribosomal RNA is filed under the name uncultured bacterium. RNAcentral's name for it is "SSU rRNA". It matches the Rfam family "Bacterial small subunit ribosomal RNA", at positions 26 to 518 of the family's 1533-position model. The record is from RNAcentral.